Molecule: ribosomal RNA, 1384 nt
Filed under: Staphylococcus aureus
Lineage: Bacteria; Bacillati; Bacillota; Bacilli; Caryophanales; Staphylococcaceae
Description: partial 23S ribosomal RNA
Rfam family: Bacterial large subunit ribosomal RNA
Source: RNAcentral
AGGCACACCCGGAGAACUGAAACAUCUUAGUACCCGGAGGAAGAGAAAGAAAAUUCGAUUCCCUUAGUAGCGGCGAGCGAAACGGGAAGAGCCCAAACCAAAAAGCUUGCUUGUUGGGGUUGUAGGACACUCUAUACGGAGUUACAAAGGACGACAUUAGACGAAUCAUCUGGAAAGAUGAAUCAAAGAAGGUAAUAAUCCUGUAGUCGAAAAUGUUGUCUCUCUUGAGUGGAUCCUGAGUACGACGGAGCACGUGAAAUUCCGUCGGAAUCUGGGAGGACCAUCUCCUAAGGCUAAAUACUCUCUAGUGACCGAUAGUGAACCAGUACCGUGAGGGAAAGGUGAAAAGCACCCCGGAAGGGGAGUGAAAUAGAACCUGAAACCGUGUGCUUACAAGUAGUCAGAGCCCGUUAAUGGGUGAUGGCGUGCCUUUUGUAGAAUGAACCGGCGAGUUACGAUUUGAUGCAAGGUUAAGCAGUAAAUGUGGAGCCGUAGCGAAAGCGAGUCUGAAUAGGGCGUUUAGUAUUUGGUCGUAGACCCGAAACCAGGUGAUCUACCCUUGGUCAGGUUGAAGUUCAGGUAACACUGAAUGGAGGACCGAACCGACUUACGUUGAAAAGUGAGCGGAUGAACUGAGGGUAGCGGAGAAAUUCCAAUCGAACCUGGAGAUAGCUGGUUCUCUCCGAAAUAGCUUUAGGGCUAGCCUCAAGUGAUGAUUAUUGGAGGUAGAGCACUGUUUGGACGAGGGGCCCCUCUCGGGUUACCGAAUUCAGACAAACUCCGAAUGCCAAUUAAUUUAACUUGGGAGUCAGAACAUGGGUGAUAAGGUCCGUGUUCGAAAGGGAAACAGCCCAGACCACCAGCUAAGGUCCCAAAAUAUAUGUUAAGUGGAAAAGGAUGUGGCGUUGCCCAGACAACUAGGAUGUUGGCUUAGAAGCAGCCAUCAUUUAAAGAGUGCGUAAUAGCUCACUAGUCGAGUGACACUGCGCCGAAAAUGUACCGGGGCUAAACAUAUUACCGAAGCUGUGGAUUGUCCUUUGGACAAUGGUAGGAGAGCGUUCUAAGGGCGUUGAAGCAUGAUCGUAAGGACAUGUGGAGCGCUUAGAAGUGAGAAUGCCGGUGUGAGUAGCGAAAGACGGGUGAGAAUCCCGUCCACCGAUUGACUAAGGUUUCCAGAGGAAGGCUCGUCCGCUCUGGGUUAGUCGGGUCCUAAGCUGAGGCCGACAGGCGUAGGCGAUGGAUAACAGGUUGAUAUUCCUGUACCACCUAUAAUCGUUUUAAUCGAUGGGGGGACGCAGUAGGAUAGGCGAAGCGUGCGAUUGGAUUGCACGUCUAAGCAGUAAGGCUGAGUAUUAGGCAAAUCCGGUACUCGUUAAGGCUGAGC